RNAcentral lists this ribosomal RNA (497 nucleotides) under uncultured bacterium. RNAcentral describes it as "partial 16S ribosomal RNA". It matches the Rfam family "Bacterial small subunit ribosomal RNA", at positions 28 to 507 of the family's 1533-position model. The record is from RNAcentral.
GACGAACGCUGGCGGCGUGCCUAAUACAUGCAAGUAGAACGCUGAAGAGAGGAGCUUGCUCUUCUUGGAUGAGUUGCGAACGGGUGAGUAACGCGUAGGUAACCUGCCUUGUAGCGGGGGAUAACUAUUGGAAACGAUAGCUAAUACCGCAUAACAAUGGAUGACACAUGUCAUUUAUUUGAAAGGGGCAAUUGCUCCACUACAAGAUGGACCUGCGUUGUAUUAGCUAGUAGGUGAGGUAACGGCUGACCUAGGCGACGAUACAUAGCCGACCUGAGAGGGUGAUCGGCCACACUGGGACUGAGACACGGCCCAGACUCCUACGGGAGGCAGCAGUAGGGAAUCUUCGGCAAUGGGGGCAACCCUGACCGAGCAACGCCGCGUGAGUGAAGAAGGUUUUCGGAUCGUAAAGCUCUGUUGUAAGUCAAGAACGAGUGUGAGAGUGGAAAGUUCACACUGUGACGGUAGCUUACCAGAAAGGGACGGCUAACUACGUG